This 147-nucleotide microRNA precursor is filed under the name Canis lupus familiaris (dog). RNAcentral describes it as "miRNA (ENSCAFG00845025603.1)". The record is from RNAcentral. Lineage: Eukaryota; Metazoa; Chordata; Mammalia; Carnivora; Canidae.
CGCUGAUCUGCACAGCUUGGGGCCCCCUGGGGGCAGGAGAGUUCUUGCUGUCCUGUGCCCUCCUGGCCUCCGCCUGGCCUGUCCGAGGGGAGCGCAGGAUCCUGGGCUGUGUCCCCCGCCCCUGGGCUCCGGGGCCUGCGCCGCUGG